GAUGAACGCUGGCGGCGUGCCUAAUACAUGCAAGUCGAGCGAACAGACGAGGAGCUUGCUCCUCUGACGUUAGCGGCGGACGGGUGAGUAACACGUGGAUAACCUACCUAUAAGACUGGGAUAACUUCGGGAAACCGGAGCUAAUACCGGAUAAUAUAUUGAACCGCAUGGUUCAAUAGUGAAAGACGGUUUUGCUGUCACUUAUAGAUGGAUCCGCGCCGCAUUAGCUAGUUGGUAAGGUAACGGCUUACCAAGGCGACGAUGCGUAGGCGACCUGAGAGAGUGAUCGGCCACCCGGGAACGGAGACACGGUCCAGACUCCUACGGGACGCAGCAGUAGGGAAUCGUCCGCAAUGGGCGAAAGCCUGACGGAGCAACGCCGCGUGAGUGAUGAAGGUCUUCGGAUCGUAAAACUCUGUUAUUAGGGAAGAACAAAUGUGUAAGUAACUAUGCACGUCUUGACGGUACCUAAUCAGAAAGCCACGGCUAACUACGUG
RNAcentral lists this ribosomal RNA (497 nucleotides) under uncultured bacterium. Its description in RNAcentral is "partial 16S ribosomal RNA". It matches the Rfam family "Bacterial small subunit ribosomal RNA", at positions 28 to 507 of the family's 1533-position model. The record is from RNAcentral.